CACACGUGCUACAAUGGCAUAUACAAAGAGAAGCGACCUCGCGAGAGCAAGCGGACCUCAUAAAGUAUGUCGUAGUCCGGAUUGGAGUCUGCAACUCGACUCCAUGAAGUCGGAAUCGCUAGUAAUCGUAGAUCAGAAUGCUACGGUGAAUACGUUCCCGGGCCUUGUACACACCGCCCGUCACACCAUGGGAGUGGGUUGCAAAAGAAGUAGGUAGCUUAACCUUCGGGAGGGCGCUUACCACUUUGUGAUUCAUGACUGGGGUGAAGUCGUAACAAGGUAACCGUAGGGGAACCUGCGGUUGGAUCACCUCCUUACCUUAAAGAA
Molecule: ribosomal RNA, 327 nt
Filed under: Klebsiella pneumoniae
Lineage: Bacteria; Pseudomonadati; Pseudomonadota; Gammaproteobacteria; Enterobacterales; Enterobacteriaceae
Description: bacterial SSU rRNA
Rfam family: Bacterial small subunit ribosomal RNA
Source: RNAcentral